GACGAACGCUGGCGGCGUGCUUAACACAUGCAAGUCGAACGGAAAGGCCCUGCUUUUGUGGGUGCUCGAGUGGCGAACGGGUGAGUAACACGUGAGUAACCUGCCCUUGACUUUGGGGUAACUUCAUGAAACUGGGGCUAAUACCGGAUAAGAGCUUCUUCUGCAUGGUGGGGGUUGGAAAGUUUCGGCGGUUGGGGAUGGACUCGCGGCUUAUCAGCUUGUUGGUGGGGUAGUGGCUUACCAAGGCUUUGACGGGUAGCCGGCCUGAGAGGGUGACCGGCCACAUUGGGACUGAGAUACGGCCCAGACUCCUACGGGAGGCAGCAGUGGGGAAUAUUGCACAAUGGGCGGAAGCCUGAUGCAGCAACGCCGCGUGCGGGAUGACGGCCUUCGGGUUGUAAACCGCUUUCGCCUGUGACGAAGCGUGAGUGACGGUAAUGGGUAAAGAAGCACCGGCUAACUACGUG
RNAcentral lists this ribosomal RNA (467 nucleotides) under uncultured bacterium. Its description in RNAcentral is "partial 16S ribosomal RNA". It matches the Rfam family "Bacterial small subunit ribosomal RNA", at positions 28 to 507 of the family's 1533-position model. The record is from RNAcentral.